RNAcentral lists this ribosomal RNA (98 nucleotides) under Acanthosepion pharaonis. The record is from RNAcentral. Lineage: Eukaryota; Metazoa; Mollusca; Cephalopoda; Sepiida; Sepiidae.
UUGAAACACCAGUUCUUGUAUGAUCACCGAAGUUAAGCAAUGUCUAGCCUGGUCAGUACCUGAAUGGAUGACUGCUUGGGAGUACCAGGUGCUGUAAG